UACGUAGGGGGCAAGCGUUGUCCGGAAUCAUUGGGCGUAAAGCGCGUGUAGGCGGCUCGAUAAGUCCGCUCUGAAAGUCCAGGGCUCAACCCUGGGAUGCGGGUGGAUACUGUCGGGCUCGAGUCCGGAAGAGGCGAGUGGAAUUCCCGGUGUAGCGGUGAAAUGCGCAGAUAUCGGGAGGAACACCAAUGGCGAAGGCAGCUCGCUGGGACGUGACUGGCGCUGAGACGCGAAAGCGUGGGGAGCAAACAGG
Molecule: ribosomal RNA, 253 nt
Filed under: uncultured bacterium
Lineage: Bacteria
Description: partial 16S ribosomal RNA
Rfam family: Bacterial small subunit ribosomal RNA
Source: RNAcentral